UUUUAUUCAUGUGAAGAUAGGGAUAGGCUAGUAGCUUUGUGUCUCAAUUGAAGUGAAGAUUUACCACUGUAGAAGAGCCUCAGAGAAUGGGGAAAUCAAUCAAACCAUUACCUCUGAAGAACAAAGUUCACUAACCAGCCGCAGUAACUCAGCAUUCCUAUUCAAUUGCCAAUCAGUAACACAGAAGGAGGGAGCGCUGCAGCGAGUGGUUGCCAUGGUGACUUAUCCACCGGCGUCGCUGAGCCAUUUUUAUCCUCAAGAUCCCACGGGGGCUGUCUCUGUAACUUUUCAGAAUUUCCAGUCUAAUUAUAUUACACUGCCACGACAUGGGAUUAAACAUUAAAGAGGCCUGCACAUCUGCCUAUCUGCCUUCCAUCAACUCAUCUACUCAACAGUAUAUCUACUCCGGUUCUCCAUCCACUCAUCGCCAGAUCGUUGUUUCAACUACAGUGGAUCACUACCCUCCGGUCCCCCUGCCUGCCUGCCUGCCUGCCUCGCCUGCUCGCUUACUAAACACCCGAGCUUAUCCUCAGCCAACCACGCUCACCUCGUCCGCCUGUCCUGCUCAGCUCAACUCUGCCAUCCACCAUCCAGCUCAAUUCAGCUCUGCCUUCCACCAUCGCCUCUCUACCUUCUGCCUUGCCUGCCAUCCUCAUUCCCCUUUAUUCCUACAAUAAACCCCUUUCAUAUUACUUAAA
Anguilla rostrata (American eel) is the source of this 698-nucleotide long non-coding RNA. RefSeq lists it as uncharacterized. The transcript has 3 exons. NCBI's taxonomy places the organism in Eukaryota, Metazoa, Chordata, Actinopteri, Anguilliformes, Anguillidae. The record is from RefSeq and is a predicted model, not a curated record.